AUGCCUGGGAAAUUGCCCUGAUGUGGGGGAUAACCAUUGGAAACGAUGGCUAAUACCGCAUAAUGCCUUCGGGCCAAAGAGGGGGACCUUCGGGCCUCUCGCGUCAGGAUAUGCCCAGGUGGGAUUAGCUAGUUGGUGAGGUAAAGGCUCACCAAGGCGACGAUCCCUAACUGGUCUGAGAGGAUGAUCAGCCACACUGGAACUGAGACACGGUCCAGACUCCUACGGGAGGCAGCAGUGGGGAAUAUUGCACAAUGGGCGCAAGCCUGAUGCAGCCAUGCCGCGUGUAUGAAGAAGGCCUUCGGGUUGUAAAGUACUUUCAGCAGUGAGGAAGGUUCAUACGUUAAUAGCGUAUGGAUUUGACGUUAGCUGCAGAAGAAGCACCGGCUAACUCCGUGCCAGCAGCCGCGGUAAUACGGAGGGUGCGAGCGUUAAUCCGGAAUUACUGGGCCGUAAAGCGCAUG
RNAcentral lists this ribosomal RNA (464 nucleotides) under uncultured bacterium. Its description in RNAcentral is "bacterial SSU rRNA". It matches the Rfam family "Bacterial small subunit ribosomal RNA", at positions 113 to 571 of the family's 1533-position model. The record is from RNAcentral.